Molecule: long non-coding RNA, 3124 nt
Organism: Oxyura jamaicensis (ruddy duck)
Lineage: Eukaryota; Metazoa; Chordata; Aves; Anseriformes; Anatidae
Exons: 2
Source: RefSeq, a predicted model, not a curated record
GCAAAGCCCUCCCACCCCCCCCCGAUCUUGACGCUUGGCUGUGAACUUUCCGCUGGGGUAAGUUCUCCUUUAAGAAAAGGAACUGCUCCUUAUGCAUAUUUAACGCCGGGUGUCUGCAGUGCCCAGAUGACGCGGGGCUGGAGGCUCACAGGCAGGACCUGAGUUGUAGGGGAAGUAAAGGAGCCACCCUUCACCCGCACCCUCUCGCUGGGAGCCCCUUGCUCUGAACCCAUGCUCCCUCCGAGGAAGGACCAAUUCUGCUGGCACCCCAUGUCUGGACUUUGGAGGGCAUGGCAGAGCAGCUGGAUCUGAAAGCACCAUCCCCAUAGGUAGAAAUCCUCCUCUACACCAUGCGCCUUGCAAGGAAGGCAACGAGGGGACACGUGGAGAGACCAAACAUCUGGCACUGAGGAACUGAGGUCCACCUCGCACUGCCCUGAAGGAAAGUUUGUUCCCAAACUGAUUACGUUGUGGCGUUCGGUGCUGGUGUCAAAUUGGUUCGAGCCAUUCCAAGUGUAAAAUAAAGAUCUCUGCUUGGGUACGCCUGUCGUGCCACUGAACGUCUUGCUAACCCUCCUCUGUUUGCCUUGAAGGUAUCGAGCUGAUGUAGCGUUGUCUUUUCACCCCACCAACGUGCGCAGUAGGAACAAUUCAGGAAAGUUAUGUUUAGCUUUUUUUUUUUUUUUUUUCCUUUUUUUUCCUUGCAGCUGAAGAAAUGCAAGCUAUCAGAAACAAGCCUAUGUUUGAAGGUACAGUUUUCAACACGUGAGUGGGAAACAUAUGUACUGGCACAAUCCUGCUGCUCUGCAAGGGCUGCGUUCAGAUUUUGGCUUUUAAUCUCAACUCUGUUAGGGAGAGGGAGAGAUGCAAAAUGGAAGGGAGCGUGAUUAUUUGUGCUAUAGCCAUGUGAUAGUCAUCCCAUAACCGUUGGGAAGAGAAGCAAAACACUCUGCUAGAGCUCUGGGUGAGCCUGAGAUUCAGGGGGACUCGAGUCUUCGCAGGUUCUCACUUCACUGCCUUUCUUCCCUCGGUGUUUGUUAUAUGAGGUUCUUUUUUUGUCUGCUGUUCUACGUUUUAAAGUGAGUAGAGGCUAAACCCUGCUGAGAGAGUGAGCUCCCUCCAUCACAAACUCCCGUUUGAAAACGUCUACCCCCCUUGACCACCCCCCUUCAAGCCAUCCUCCCCCUUUCAGGGGAGAAAAGAAAACCUCAAAAGAGAGCGAGAGAAAAGGGGGUUGGGAGGGGAGAGAGAGGGGAGACCCCCUGAUUCCUUGAUGACCUGCACAGCUCGGACAGCCCUCCGAGUUCCCCUGUGCUGUGGACAAGCCCCAUCAGAAAAACAUAUGCCCGGACCCAAGCAACUUUUAAUGUGGUUUGGGUUUUUUACAGUUCGGGUUAUGUUUUAGUACUUCCAAGAGGGGGUGGGGAGGGGGAAAUAAAGGUGGGGAUGGGGAGGGGAAGGGAGAAAGUUAGGAUUUAGCCUUUUGCUGCUGAAAAAGCACCAUAAAAUAAAAAAACACAGCCAAGAAGAAACUAAGCGAGCCUGUCCCACAGCCAGCCUUCCCUGCGAGGGAGCUGAAGACAUACACAAUAGCACACAAAAAGCAGCAGCUCCAACUCUUAAUACCAGCACCCUGUGCUCACUGCCUUACCGAAACGCCCAGGCCUGCUCUUGGUGGUGCCCUUCAGAGCGGCCACCUUCCGUCCCUGUGCUGCGGCCUCCGUCCCCCCUGCCUGGGGACUUGAGGCUUGGCAGGAAAGUUUCUGUGCUGCUGCAGGCGUAUAUACACACACAGGGAUCUAUGUUAUCCACACACAUGCACACACAUCUUUAUAUAUAGAUACGCAUGUAGGUGUAGAGUCUAUGUUUAAAUACUCCUAUAUAUACACACACAGUCCUCCUAGGAUGAGGUCAUUCCACAAGAUCUGGCUGCAUCGAACGCCAAGAUCUUAUCUGUGCCGAUCUAAGGAGCAACACAGACGACACUCUAGCAGAAGUGGAAAGAAAUUUGGGAGACAAACAUUCAACAAGGUGUCCCUGGAGGCCCCUCUGCCGCCCUCCCCAGCCCAAGCACCCACUCACUCCUUGCCUGAGCUGCACCCUGCAGUGUGGGGCUGAGCCCUCCUGCUGCUGCACCUUGAAGUUUUUCCCCUCUUUUUCUUUCUUUUUUGCACCGAUGCUCACCUCCCUAACGCGCUGGUGGGCUGCAGAUUAAUACAUAUAUGCAUUUUUCCCCCGUGGCUCUGAAAGUCUUCAUGUUUUUUUGAUUUCAGCAAACUGAAAACGGAAGGGGGGGAGAGAUGAUGCUCGGCUGCGGGACUCCGAGAGGUUUCGCUUUCCAGCUAUCAGCAGCGCCAGGAGACAGCUCCAUUUAAAAAAAAAAAAAAAAAAAAAAAAAAAAAGUAGUUUUCCACUGCUCUUGAAAAGCCGUUAUUUUUUACAUCGCUUUUAGGGAGAUAGAUUAACAAAACAUCACAUUUCAAGCCACUCUGAUCUGUAAUUAAACGGGGGAGCCGGUUUGUAUUCUCCUAUGGCUUUUACAGAAGUUGCAGUGAUCCAAAGUCAGGUUGCUGUGUCAGAGUGGCAUUUUUAUUAAUGAGAAUACAAAAAGCUUGCAUAUUCUUAGCCUGGCUUGAAUUUAGUUGCUAAGCAACCGCUGUAUGGUAAUUCAUCCGCGAAAUUUAAAUCGGGGAGAAAGGAUCGUGCGGUUUUUUGCUCAAUGGGCGCCACGAGGAACACAACUUGUGGGACCCGCAGCGGCUGCCGCCGCCACCGAGCCGCCCGCCCGCCGCACCCCGGCACUGCCCCGGACCCACCGGAGCUCCCCAAGGUCCUCAGGGGACGAGGACAGGGUUUGGGGGCUGGGUUGGGGUCGGGGUUGGGACCGGGGAAGGGAGCGGCGGCCUCCCCGUCGGGGCUGCCCACGCGUGGGGCGCCCGCGAGUGGCCCCGGCCCCGAGGGGUCCCGGAGCGCCCCGGUGCCGCUGUUCGUUUGGCGGCGGGGAGGCCGGGAGGGAGGCUAGCCUCCCCUUGCUCAGGCCUUAACCCCUCCGCUUUUUGUCUCGCCAAAGCCUCUGUCGGGCAAAGGAGAAGAAAAAAAAAAAGGGAGGAAAAAAAAAAAAAAG